AACGAACGCUGGCGGCAUGCCUAACACAUGCAAGUCGAACGAAGGCUUCGGCCUUAGUGGCGCACGGGUGCGUAACGCGUGGGAAUCUGCCCUUGGGUUCGGAAUAACUCAGAGAAAUUUGAGCUAAUACCGGAUGAUGACGUAAGUCCAAAGAUUUAUCGCCCAAGGAUGAGCCCGCGUAAGAUUAGCUAGUUGGUGGGGUAAAGGCCUACCAAGGCGACGAUCUUUAGCUGGUCUGAGAGGAUGAUCAGCCACACUGGGACUGAGACACGGUCCAGACUCCUACGGGAGGCAGCAGUGAGGAAUAUUGCACAAUGGAGGAAACUCUGAUGCAGCAACGCCGCGUGGAGGAUGACGCAUUUCGGUGUGUAAACUCCUUUUAAGAGGGAAGAUUAUGACGGUACCUCUUGAAUAAGCACCGGCUAACUCCGUG
RNAcentral lists this ribosomal RNA (433 nucleotides) under uncultured bacterium. Its description in RNAcentral is "bacterial SSU rRNA". It matches the Rfam family "Bacterial small subunit ribosomal RNA", at positions 29 to 507 of the family's 1533-position model. The record is from RNAcentral.